GAUUGAACGCUGGCGGCAUGCCUUACACAUGCAAGUCGAACGGCGAGCACAGGACUCGGGCAAACUGAGCCCUGGUGGCGAGUGGCGAACGGGUGAGUAAUGCAUCGGAACGUGCCCAGUAGUGGGGGAUAACUAGUCGAAAGAUUAGCUAAUACCGCAUACGACCUAUGGGUGAAAGGCGGGGGAUUCGCGAAGAACCUCGCGCUAUCGGAGCGGCCGAUGCUGAUUAGCUAGUUGGCGGGGUAAAAGCCCACCAAGGCUUCGAUCAGUAGCUGGUCUGAGAGGACGACCAGCCACACUGGGACUGAGACACGGCCCAGACUCCUACGGGAGGC
This 335-nucleotide ribosomal RNA is filed under the name uncultured bacterium. Its description in RNAcentral is "bacterial SSU rRNA". It matches the Rfam family "Bacterial small subunit ribosomal RNA", at positions 27 to 349 of the family's 1533-position model. The record is from RNAcentral.